This 67-nucleotide transfer RNA is filed under the name Marmota monax (woodchuck). RNAcentral's name for it is "tRNA.Ala". Lineage: Eukaryota; Metazoa; Chordata; Mammalia; Rodentia; Sciuridae. The record is from RNAcentral.
GGACUGUGGCUCAGCGGUAGAGCACUCUCCUAGCACGGGCGGGACUCGGGUUCAAUUCUCAGCACCA